CCUACGGGAGGCAGCAGUCGAGAAUCAUUCACAAUGGGGGAAACCCUGAUGGUGCGACGCCGCGUGGGGGAAUGAAGGUCUUCGGAUUGUAAACCCCUGUCAUGAGGGAGCAAAGUAAAAAGAGAGUACCACAAGAGGAAGAGACGGCGAACUCGGUGCCAGCAGCCGCGGUAAAACAGAGGUCGCAAGCGGGGUGCGGAAUGACUGGGCGUAAAGCGUGCGUAGGCUGUUUCGUAAGUCGUGUGUGAAAGGCGCGGGCUCACCCCGCGGACGGCACAUGAUACUGCGAGACUAGAGUACUGGAGGGGGAACCGGUCUUCUCGGUGUAGCCGU
RNAcentral lists this ribosomal RNA (333 nucleotides) under uncultured bacterium. Its description in RNAcentral is "partial 16S ribosomal RNA". It matches the Rfam family "Bacterial small subunit ribosomal RNA", at positions 338 to 682 of the family's 1533-position model. The record is from RNAcentral.